RNAcentral lists this ribosomal RNA (325 nucleotides) under uncultured eukaryote. Its description in RNAcentral is "partial 18S ribosomal RNA". It matches the Rfam family "Eukaryotic small subunit ribosomal RNA", at positions 1470 to 1796 of the family's 1831-position model. The record is from RNAcentral.
CCCUUAGAUGUUCUGGGCAGCACGCGCGCUACAAUGGUCUUCGCAAACGGAUGCAUUCUCGAAGGAGAAUGCCAAUCUUGGAAUCUAUGCCUUGGUCGGGACAGUUGCUUGCAAUUUUUCGACUCGAACCAGGAAUUCCUUGUAAUCGUGAUUCAUCACAUCACGAUGAAUACGUCCCUGCCCUUUGUACACACCGCCCGUCGCUCCUACCGAUUGAAUGGUCCGGUGAAGUGUUCGGAUCGAGGCGACAUGGGCGGUUCGCUGCCUGUGACGUUGCGAGAAGUCCACUGAACCUUAUCAUUUAGAGGAAGGAGAAGUCGUAACA